Molecule: long non-coding RNA, 275 nt
Filed under: Elaeis guineensis (African oil palm)
Lineage: Eukaryota; Viridiplantae; Streptophyta; Magnoliopsida; Arecales; Arecaceae
Description: long non-coding RNA (EGUI_LNC082878)
Source: RNAcentral
UUGCACAUGGUCAUCGACCGUCGGAUCCGUCAGAAAAGCUACAUGAACCAAGAUCCUAUUUUUUUCUAUUUGGUCGAGCCUUUUUUCUCCUCUUUUCAAGCAUCGGCACUGCCGCCUGUAAUGCCACACCCCUAGAUCUUUAUCCCUAACCUAUCAACUACUUGCCUUAGAGGUUUUGAUCAUCGAUGAUUGAUCAUUGAUCGAAAAAAUAUGAAAAGGGGUGAAUCCUCUAUUUUCUGAAAUUCUUCACUUGAUUUUCUUAUCAUUCAACCCCC